UCACCCCUCAAGCCCCGUGCUUGGUGUUGGACGGCCGGUCGGUGGAAGCUGACCCCUCCUAAAGACAAUGACGGCGGCCUGUGGUUCCCCCGGUACACUGAGCUUCUUAACCGAGCACGUACUGGACAAGGGCGCCCGGGACCCGGUCCUCUCCUUUAACUAGGAAACUUCUAAU
RNAcentral lists this unclassified non-coding RNA (175 nucleotides) under uncultured Herpotrichiellaceae. RNAcentral describes it as "sequence contains ITS2". The record is from RNAcentral. RNAcentral also lists the same sequence under 1 other name. Lineage: Eukaryota; Fungi; Ascomycota; Eurotiomycetes; Chaetothyriales; Herpotrichiellaceae.